RNAcentral lists this transfer RNA (69 nucleotides) under Marmota monax (woodchuck). It matches the Rfam family "tRNA". Rfam says of the family: Transfer RNA (tRNA) molecules are approximately 80 nucleotides in length. Their secondary structure includes four short double-helical elements and three loops (D, anti-codon, and T loops). Lineage: Eukaryota; Metazoa; Chordata; Mammalia; Rodentia; Sciuridae. The record is from Rfam by way of RNAcentral.
GGGGUUGUGGCUCAGCGGUAGAGCGCUCACCUAACAGGUGCGAGACUCUAGGUUCGAUCCUCAGCACCA